RNAcentral lists this unclassified non-coding RNA (335 nucleotides) under soil metagenome. Its description in RNAcentral is "partial contains 5.8S ribosomal RNA, internal transcribed spacer 2, and large subunit ribosomal RNA". The stretch from base 1 to 120 matches the Rfam family "5.8S ribosomal RNA", at positions 35 to 154 of the family's 154-position model. The record is from RNAcentral.
GAUGAAGAACGUAGCGAAAUGCGAUACGUAAUGUGAAUUGCAGAAUUCAGUGAAUCAUCGAGUCUUUGAACGCACAUUGCGCCCCUUGGUAUUCCAUGGGGCAUGCCUGUUCGAGCGUCAUCUACACCCUCAAGCUCUGCUUGGUGUUGGGCGUCUGUCCCGCCUCUGCGCGCGGACUCGCCCCAAAUUCAUUGGCAGCGGUCCUUGCCUCCUCUCGCGCAGCACAUUGCGCUUCUCGAGGUGCGCGGCCCGCGUCCACGAAGCAACAUUACCGUCUUUGACCUCGGAUCAGGUAGGGAUACCCGCUGAACUUAAGCAUAUCAAUAAGCGGAGGA